CAUGGAUUUCUUAGAAAAUGAAUGAAAAUAAGAAAGGUUAAUAUUUAUUGCAUGCUUACCAUUUUCCAAAUGUAGCUGUCAGUGUUGGCUAGACAGUCAGGAUGUGCAGGGGAAUCUAUUACAUAGAUGAAGGGAGGCAUCAGGCUUAUGUAUGUAGUAGAAAUAAAAGGACUUAAGAAAUCCAGGAGAAGGUAGCCAUUCAGUAAGGCCUUGAAGAAAAACAGAAAAAAAAAAAAAGAGGAGGCAAUUGCAGAAUCUUUAUAUUCUUGUUAUUUCAAAGAAAGAUGUGCCUCAAACGCAGUAGAAAUUUAACCAAGAUCAGUUAGGGUUUGAGGAGAGAUCCAGAGUGGAAAUUUGUGACUCUUGGUUGCCUUGACAAAGGAAUUCUGUGCUAGUUAUUCUUUGUUUAAUUUCUACUUUCUUGAAUCCAUUCAUUACUUUCCUGCCCUGCUCUUUGCUAUGGGAGGCUGAUUUCUGUGGCCUGAGUCACCCAGCUCUCUUGCCUUCUGGCUGCUGAUUGGGUUAGACCAGAGGAAGUUAUCCAGAGGGAAUCUACGCAGGUAAUAGAGGACCGGCUAGUUAUUAUAAUCCUAUGAGUUUAGGUUACAGAUUUUUAUCAGCCAGGUGCCUGGUAGAUUUUAUCCAAAGAAGGGGUGAUAUUUAGAAGUGUGAGCAGGGAUAAAGGAACUAAGAUAAGACUCCUGAACUAGUAGAAAUGUGAAGUGGUUCCAGCCCUGAUGGGGUGAGGUAUGGGGUGAGAGCUAGGGCUGUGGGAGGGUGAGGUGGAGGGACGGUAUGGGCUGCUAGAAUGAUGUCACGAAAUGAAUUAUUUUCUGAUGAUCAGAGGUAGUCUCCUAAGAAUUUUUCUGCUACAAGAGAUCUUAGACAUCAGCUAGGACCAUAUGCCUGCCACCUGUGAGGACAUUCCUUCCUCAGUAUUGAAUUUAACAAUCAGGUUUUUCUUUCUUUGAAAUAGCUGUCUUGGGGGGAAACCAGUUCCCUUUUAGUUUAUCUGUUCCCUCUUCUCUUCAGGAAAGCUAAGAAGAUAAUACAGUACAACCAGGUCUGCCAAGCUCCCUUCCCUGCUCUGAGAUUUCAGCUUUCCAGUGAAAAUCGUCAUACCGGAAAUGUGGAUCGCACACUGCAUAAUCUUCCAGGACGCAUACAGCUGUGACAUCCCACGACUGCAGACGUGUGGCUGGCUGGGACUGAGUAUUCCUAGUCCCCAGGUCCCUUCACCAACACUCCUUCCGAAGGAUACAGAGCAUCAGUGCUGAUGCGGAACUUGAGGAAAUCAUCCCUGCAGGCAGUGUAAUUCUAGCAGAAGACUGAAUCAUUCUGUUUGUUAAAAAAAGAAAAAAGUAAAAUCUAAAUUACAUCUAAAGUCAAAUAUGUUCUGAUCUUUACUUCCCUUGUUACCAGAUGUAGGGAGUAAAAAUGUACCUUCUAUGGAUGAGACUGGCAGUGGCUGAGUAGCUCAGCAUGGAUUUGGUGUUAAGGAGAGCGUGGGAAUUACAAGCAGCUCCCCUGUUUCUAGAGCAGUGCCGGGGAGGCCCCGGCGCUGAACCAAAGGGAUGCAUGAAAAAUGGCUUAAAUAUUAAGCAGCUACCUCCUGUCAUUCUGGUCUGAGUGGGUGAAGAAAAUGCAUACAUAAAAAUUAAAUAAAAGAAAAGGGCUAAAAAUAAAAUCAUACAAAGCGCAUGAAGCUGAAACUCUGAAUACAAAUACAAUUACACGUCUUUGGGUGAAAUCCAUAACCAGUUUUUGGCAACCCACCUGACUCGCUCAUUGAAUUGCAAAAUGAGAGAAUAUAAAUCAGAGUUGACAACGAGGUCUUAUUUCCCUCUUUAGAGGUUUUAACUGAAUAAUAAAUCACAUGGUUCCAGCACCAUGGACCUCUUAGGAUUCAGGACCAUUCUGUUUGUUGGUGCCUCCAAACAGUAAUUCCUACUGUGUGACCCAUGUAGAGAGCAAACCUCCCUUCCUCUUGCUGUCGCCUCCCGUUCUAAUUAAGCAGAUCAGCAAGGAGAGAGAAGGUUUGCUUACUCAAGGCAGCGAGGGCAGAACUGGCUAUUCAUUUGAACAGUCUCUGGGUUUCAGUUCUCUCUGUGUGUCCCCAUCAAAUUAUUUUUUAAGAUACAAUUUUCUCAGAUAUUACGUGUAGUACAUGGGUAUCUGCCUGUUAAAAAUUCCAGCACUCUGAUAUGUAGAAAACAAUAAAUUGUCAUUUUAGCUCGCCCUCCCCUCCCGUCACCUCAACCGUCUCAGGACUCACUUCAUUAAUAUAUUUAGCCAUAUAAGCAUACAAUGUCUCUCACUCCAUACUUUUCAUACACAUUUAGAUAAAUUCACAUCUAUGUAUUAUAUACAAACAUGCAUACAUAGUUUAGUUUUUUAAAGUAAACAGUAUGUUAUUAUACACAUUAUAG
Molecule: non-coding RNA, 2429 nt
Organism: Vicugna pacos (alpaca)
Lineage: Eukaryota; Metazoa; Chordata; Mammalia; Artiodactyla; Camelidae
Source: RefSeq, a predicted model, not a curated record